This 319-nucleotide ribosomal RNA is filed under the name uncultured bacterium. RNAcentral describes it as "bacterial SSU rRNA". It matches the Rfam family "Bacterial small subunit ribosomal RNA", at positions 28 to 334 of the family's 1533-position model. The record is from RNAcentral.
GAUGAACGCUGGCGGCGUGCCUAACACAUGCAAGUCGAACGGGACUUAUUGAGACGAUUUCGGUCUGAUCAUUAAGUUUAGUGGCGGACGGGUGAGUAACGCGUGGACAACCUGCCUUUCGCAGGGGGAUAGCAGCUGGAAACGGCUGGUAAUACCGCAUACGCGAGAGAUACCGCAUGACAUCACUCGGAAAGAUUUAUCGGUGAAAGAUGGAUCCGCGUCUGAUUAGCCAGUUGGCCGGGUAACGGCCCACCAAAGCGACGAUCAGUAGCCGGCCUGAGAGGGCGGACGGCCACAUUGGGACUGAGACACGGCCCAG